This is a long non-coding RNA of Mastomys coucha (southern multimammate mouse), 287 nucleotides long. RefSeq lists it as uncharacterized. The transcript has 2 exons. The record is from RefSeq and is a predicted model, not a curated record. NCBI's taxonomy places the organism in Eukaryota, Metazoa, Chordata, Mammalia, Rodentia, Muridae.
GUCUUCAUUUCGAGGCAAAACGUUCUCUUUCGUUUCUUACAGAUUAACAGACAGAGCGUUGUCUCUUAACAAUGCAACACACCAAACACACAAAGGCAAGAUAUCAUCAGCUCCAUUCCGACUGUCAUCACAGAUAAGAAUCUUGCCUUACUAGAAGCUGUGAAACUAUUGGGAUAAUCCAGCUGCCAGGCAUAAAAGAAAGCUGCUGAUGGAGGAACCAUACAGUCGGUAUGCAAUUGUCUUUGAACUGAGCUCACCCAGAAUGAUAGGCAAAGAGAAAUAAACGU